This 500-nucleotide ribosomal RNA is filed under the name uncultured Pseudomonas sp. RNAcentral describes it as "bacterial SSU rRNA". It matches the Rfam family "Bacterial small subunit ribosomal RNA", at positions 903 to 1382 of the family's 1533-position model. Lineage: Bacteria; Pseudomonadati; Pseudomonadota; Gammaproteobacteria; Pseudomonadales; Pseudomonadaceae. The record is from RNAcentral.
GCCAGCCCGCUACAGAAACUCAAAGGACUUGACGGGGCCCGGCGACAAGCGUGGAGCAUGUGGUUUAAUUCGAAGCAACGCGAAGAACCUUACCAGGCCUUGACAUGCAGAGAACUUCCAGAGAUGGAUUGGUGCCUUCGGGAACUCUGACACAGGUGCUGCAUGGCUGUCGUCAGCUCGUGUCGCGAGAUGUUGGGUUAAGUCCCGUAACGAGCGCAACCCUUGUCCUUAGUUACCAGCACGUUAUGGUGGGCACUCUAAGGAGACUGCCGGUGACAAACCGGAGGAAGGUGGGGAUGACGUCAAGUCAUCAUGGCCCUUACGGCCUGGGCUACACACGUGCUACAAUGGUCGGUACAAAGGGUUGCCAAGCCGCGAGGUGGAGCUAAUCCCAUAAAACCGAUCGUAGUCCGGAUCGCAGUCUGCAACUCGACUGCGUGAAGUCGGAAUCGCUAGUAAUCGUGAAUCAGAAUGUCACGGUGAAUACGUUCCCGGGCCUU